This 460-nucleotide ribosomal RNA is filed under the name uncultured bacterium. RNAcentral describes it as "partial 16S ribosomal RNA". It matches the Rfam family "Bacterial small subunit ribosomal RNA", at positions 338 to 795 of the family's 1533-position model. The record is from RNAcentral.
CCUACGGGAGGCAGCAGUGAGGAAUAUUGGUCAAUGGCCGGAAGGCUGAACCAGCCAUGCCGCGUGAAGGUCAGUGCCCUAUGGGCGUUAAACUUCUUUUGUGCGGGAGCAAUAAUGGUCACGUGUGGCCAGACGAGAGUACCGUACGAAUAAGCAUCGGCUAACUCUGUGCCAGCAGCCGCGGUAAUACGGGGGAUGCAAGCGUUAUCCGGAUUUAUUGGGUUUAAAGGGUGCGUAGGCUGGGAGGUAAGUCAGCGGUGAAAUGCCCCCGCUCAACGGGGUGAAGUGCCAUUGAUACUGCCUGGCUGGAAUGCGGAUGCCGUGGGAGGAAUGUGUGGUGUAGCGGUGAAAUGCAUAGAUAUCACACAGAACACCGAUUGCGAAGGCAUCUCACGAAGCCGCGAUUGACGCUGAUGCACGAAAGCGUGGGUAUCAAACAGGAUUAGAUACCCCAGUAGUC